CCUGCUUUUGUCUUUCAAGAAGCAGAAGCUUUAAAAUAUUCUCUAGCUAAAAUUUUACGGUGCAUUUCUGUGGUUUGGGUUUUUAAAUUAAAAAAAAAAAAAAAAAAAAAAAAACACCAACAAAAAAAGACCUCAGUACAUUCCUGUAUGGUAAAGUUAUCUAGUGGUGAUAAUAAAUCCAAUAGUCUGUGGAUUUUGUGUGUGUUAUUAAAAAGAGAAGAGAAAGAAUCCUUUGUUCAUUGGCAUAAUGCAGUCCUGUCUCUGAACAGUUCUAAUUUGCAAACCAAGUACUUUGUAAAUUGUGGAAACCUGGUUAUAACUUGAAGGCUGAAUAAAAUGGGUCAUCUUAUAACUGAAAGAUAAAUAUAGAUGUAAAAUAGUGCCACAAAUGUCUUUUAAGCAAGAAAAAUAAAUAAAUAAUAGGUUUCAGAACUAGCUCAUUCUUGUGUAGUUUAUGGGUAAAGCAAGAUUACACAUACAGCCCUGCAGCCGAUUCCCAGGACUGCUAAAGUGUGAAGAACAGGAGUGACAUUCCAGUCUUCAAUAAAUCACUAUAAAAAUGUUUAUGAACCCUGCAAUUUACUGUCUUUUAAAUGCAAAUUGAAAGGGGCAUCGUCGCAAGUGUAAAGGAGACCUGCAGUGGCCUAAAGGAAUUAUAAAAUGUUGCAAAAGGCUUCUGAAAUUGUGUGAUCUUAAAUGGUUCUAUUUUAAAAAAUGAUUUCCCAUUUAUACUUCUGUGACAGCUUUGUUAAUUUAUUAAAGAGAUCUCUCUGACUUGCGAAAGGUGUUUAUGAGCAUUAUGCUUCACAGAAGCUGUUCACAGGGGCUUGCAAGGAGUUGCAGUUUAGUUUGGCAGGCAUUGGUGUUAAGUCUGCUGUUCCACGUACAAGUAGUGUGGAAGGCCUUGGGGUUCAAAAAUGUACAAAGCACUGAUCUUGUCUGACAAAAUAUUGGUAAAGUAGGAAAGAUUUCCUGCCUCUUCCCAGCUCCCCCAUGCAGUCAUCUGCUGUGAAAUUCCUAAACACCAUAAAUGAUCAUGACCCAUUGCUGGGUGAACAGUUCAGCAUCCCUCAGCCCACCAUUGAUGAAGUCCAAGUUGACUGAAGAGUAGAUCAUCUUUUCCGUGCUGUAGCUUUCUUCGGUUGAAAAGAACUGAUUUCCACUUACAUGUUUAGUGUUUUUAUCUAGAAAAUAUUCCUCUCUGUGGAAGCAGGUUUAAUCCCUAUAAAUUAGGCAUUAGAAGAGGAGUUUUCAUUAAUUGGAUGGGGGGUUUUUGUUUUUGUUUUUGGUUUUGGUUUUGGUUUUUUGUUGUUGUUUUUUUGUUUGUUUUUUUGUUUUUUUGUUUUUUGUUUCAUUUAUUGGUAAAUUUUGAGGUUUGGUGGGGUUUUUAGUUAAGAGCCAUGAUUUUCUGCAUUCAGCUAAUUGCCACUAAAAACUUUUUUAAUAAAAUAUUCAUUGAGACUGUGGGAUAUGAAUGUGUACAGUUGGAACCCUAUAAUUGUUUGCAUAGCUUAGAAUCCUCUACAGCAUACUUCAUCAGUUCUGUUUAAUUUAAUGACAUAAAUAACCAUGAUGGGCUUACACGAUAUUCAUGCUGUGUACAAGGAAGCAUGGCACUCGGUUUGUAUCAUCCACUGCCACUGAUAUUUCUCCUGGUUUCCAAAUCUUUAUACUCCUUAAGAAAAAAGGUGUGGGUAUCUGAUUUCUUGCAUCCCUUAAGCUAAAUACACUGCUUUGGCACUGACUGAUUAUUUAGCUGUCAGAAAUGGUUGGAGAACGGGCUGUCAGGCUCCAAAGUCCGUAUCCCAUCUUCUUGUCCAGCGUGGGCAGCUUCUCAGUAUACAUGCGAUGGAAGAUCUUUGGAAUCAAAAUGAUGUAAAGAAACCAAUUUGGAAGGUGUGAGUAUUUGCAUGACUCCUCCCGUGGAAAAUAAUACUGCUUGGCUCUAUCACACUGGAGUCAUUCUAACCCCUAAAUAGAGCAGUUGUAGUUUGCAGCUCAAUAGCACCCUGAAUGUAUUGCUGCUCAUUUUGUUGUCAUGCAAAACCACUGAAGCACUGUACCUUUUCCUGCAGCUGUAUGUCUGCCUGGAUGUCGUUUUUGUAAAUGAGUUUAAUUUGUAGGUAUCAUUGCUUGACAGGAUUAAAAAUGCUGUAAUACAGUGUUUUCAGAACAAUGAACUCCUCUCUGCUGUUAGAGCACUCACGGCCUUGCCUGCUGUUUCAGAGCUGCUUGUGCCAUGUGCUUACAAUGCCCAGGACCUUGUCUUCAGUUGUUCUGAUCCA
This 2285-nucleotide long non-coding RNA is filed under the name Strigops habroptila (Kakapo). RNAcentral's name for it is "lncRNA (ENSSHBG00005009994.1)". Lineage: Eukaryota; Metazoa; Chordata; Aves; Psittaciformes; Psittacidae. The record is from RNAcentral.